CUGACUAGUGAGGGAGGACUAGCUCUGGAGCAGCACCUUGGACAGAGCAGUGCUGGGCAGGCUUGGGGAAGUGGAGUGGGACUACGGCCCAGAUACCUGUCAGGCUGUGGCCCUUGCUACAAGGGUCGAGAAGAAUGGGGUGAGACCAGAGUAGUGGGCACUGCCAGAGGGCAGUGUCCUGAAGUGGAUGAAGACUGUCCUGAAGAGGAUGCUGACGAUCAGGGAGAAAUGCGGGUUCCCAGGACAACAGAGCAGAGACAAUGGGCGAGCUACCACACGUCAAGGGUGCUCUGCAGCAGGCAAGAGCUAAUUCCUGGAGUGAAUGGCAGAGGGCGCCAGCGGUGGGGAGCGACACAUAUAUUGUAUGACUUACCAUUGGAAUCCGAUGCCGCUUGCUCGGUCAUCUGAGACACUAGUGAGACAUCCUCUGCGGUUUCUGCCAAGUUAUCUCCUUGCAGUCUAAAUGGAGAAAAAACAUCACUUUGUAUGUUCAAAGUCCAGUUCUCACUGACUUCCAUUGCAUUUCCGAGUGCUCAGUACUUCUUCAAAUCAGACCAUAAGGUCUCAAGUCAGGGACCCAGAAUAUGAGGAACACAUAAGCACAGAAUUAUAGAAGUAUACAGCUGGAAGAGACUGCAAGAGGUCAUUCCCACCCCCGAUACCAAGGCAAGAUUAAGUAUAUCUAAACCAGACAUGGGCAUAAUAUGGCCCCCGGGACCGUCCUGCCCAGCCCCUGAGUUCCCAGCCAGGGACCCUAGUCCCCGGCCCC
Molecule: long non-coding RNA, 769 nt
Organism: Mauremys reevesii (Reeves's turtle)
Lineage: Eukaryota; Metazoa; Chordata; Testudines; Geoemydidae
Exons: 4
Source: RefSeq, a predicted model, not a curated record